UAAUAGCUCAGUUGGUAGAGCAUGAAACUCUUAAUCCCAGUGUUAUGGGUUCGAGUCCAACAUUGGGCAAAG
Non-coding RNA from Podarcis lilfordi (Lilford's wall lizard), 72 nucleotides. The record is from the annotation of a GenBank genome assembly. Lineage: Eukaryota; Metazoa; Chordata; Lepidosauria; Squamata; Lacertidae.